UUUGAUCCUGGCUCAGAUUGAACGCUGGCGGCAGGCCUAACACAUGCAAGUCGAGCGGUAGCACAGAGAGCUUGCUCUCGGGUGACGAGCGGCGGACGGGUGAGUAAUGUCUGGGAAACUGCCUGAUGGAGGGGGAUAACUACUGGAAACGGUAGCUAAUACCGCAUAACGUCGCAAGACCAAAGUGGGGGACCUUCGGGCCUCAUGCCAUCAGAUGUGCCCAGAUGGGAUUAGCUAGUAGGUGGGGUAAUGGCUCACCUAGGCGACGAUCCCUAGCUGGUCUGAGAGGAUGACCAGCCACACUGGAACUGAGACACGGUCCAGACUCCUACGGGAGGCAGCAGUGGGGAAUAUUGCACAAUGGGCGCAAGCCUGAUGCAGCCAUGCCGCGUGUAUGAAGAAGGCCUUCGGGUUGUAAAGUACUUUCAGCGAGGAGGAAGGCAUUAAGGUUAAUAACCUUGGUGAUUGACGUUACUCGCAGAAGAAGCACCGGCUAACUCCGUGCCAGCAGCCGCGGUAAUACGGAGGGUGCAAGCGUUAAUCGGAAUUACUGGGCGUAAAGCGCACGCAGGCGGUCUGUCAAGUCGGAUGUGAAAUCCCCGGGCUCAACCUGGGAACUGCAUUCGAAACUGGCAGGCUAGAGUCUUGUAGAGGGGGGUAGAAUUCCAGGUGUAGCGGUGAAAUGCGUAGAGAUCUGGAGGAAUACCGGUGGCGAAGGCGGCCCCCUGGACAAAGACUGACGCUCAGGUGCGAAAGCGUGGGGAGCAAACAGGAUUAGAUACCCUGGUAGUCCACGCCGUAAACGAUGUCGACUUGGAGGUUGUGCCCUUGAGGCGUGGCUUCCGGAGCUAACGCGUUAAGUCGACCGCCUGGGGAGUACGGCCGCAAGGUUAAAACUCAAAUGAAUUGACGGGGGCCCGCACAAGCGGUGGAGCAUGUGGUUUAAUUCGAUGCAACGCGAAGAACCUUACCUACUCUUGACAUCCAGAGAACUUAGCAGAGAUGCUUUGGUGCCUUCGGGAACUCUGAGACAGGUGCUGCAUGGCUGUCGUCAGCUCGUGUUGUGAAAUGUUGGGUUAAGUCCCGCAACGAGCGCAACCCUUAUCCUUUGUUGCCAGCGGUCCGGCCGGGAACUCAAAGGAGACUGCCAGUGAUAAACUGGAGGAAGGUGGGGAUGACGUCAAGUCAUCAUGGCCCUUACGAGUAGGGCUACACACGUGCUACAAUGGCAUAUACAAAGAGAAGCGACCUCGCGAGAGCAAGCGGACCUCAUAAAGUAUGUCGUAGUCCGGAUUGGAGUCUGCAACUCGACUCCAUGAAGUCGGAAUCGCUAGUAAUCGUAGAUCAGAAUGCUACGGUGAAUACGUUCCCGGGCCUUGUACACACCGCCCGUCACACCAUGGGAGUGGGUUGCAAAAGAAGUAGGUAGCUUAACCUUCGGGAGGGCGCUUACCACUUUGUGAUUCAUGACUGGGGUGAAGUCGUAACAAGG
This 1492-nucleotide ribosomal RNA is filed under the name Klebsiella aerogenes. RNAcentral's name for it is "bacterial SSU rRNA". It matches the Rfam family "Bacterial small subunit ribosomal RNA". The record is from RNAcentral. Lineage: Bacteria; Pseudomonadati; Pseudomonadota; Gammaproteobacteria; Enterobacterales; Enterobacteriaceae.